This is an RNA transcript of Drosophila takahashii, 6055 nucleotides long. RefSeq lists it as uncharacterized. The record is from RefSeq and is a predicted model, not a curated record. NCBI's taxonomy places the organism in Eukaryota, Metazoa, Arthropoda, Insecta, Diptera, Drosophilidae.
CGAAAUCGACGACGGCUGAAGCACCCCAGUGAGAACAUGUUCGCGGAGUUGCCAACUCUAUUCAUUUUUAUCCUAUUCCCCUUUGCUCACGGCUCGUCCAGCUGUUAAUCGCUGAGUAGCUCUUACUCACCACGCUUGCAGAGCUUACAUACAUACACACAAGUGGGGUGAGAUUGCCGAUUCUAUUUUGUGGUUCAGUUGUGAAUAGAAAAGCGAAGGGCUAGGGUAAGAAAAUCUACGUAAAUUUAAGAUCACAUGUAAAACCUUGCAUUUGCAGAAAUUUUAAGCGUCACAGCGUCACCACGAAGAGGGACAGCUGAAAUAAAUACUAGACUUGCAUCGGAGUUUAAUUUAUUGUACGGCGCUGUAAAAACCAGCUUAUUUUCGCAACAUUUCUUAAAAUUUCCUACUCUGACUGGACCACGUGGGACGUUACAUAAUAGCCUGGCGAUAUGGCACCAACUAAUAGUUGUUAUUUAUGUUCCGCCCCCGACAACGAGGAGAUGCUAAGAUGCAUCAAGUGUUCCAGCCAAUAUCACCCUACAUGCUGUGGACUGGACAACUGUAGUACCACCAGCAAUUGGACGUGCGCAUGUUGCACGGAGAAGGCGGCGCAGACCUUCGUUCAACAGGGCGACCCUAACCUCACUAGCAUUCAACUCGUACAAGAGGCCAACAAAACGCCAACUGAAAGCAACCAGCCAAACCAGAGUGGCGGGGAGCUAUCAGAGGACCAGCGGCAGCUUAUGUUACAGCAGUUGCAGGAGGAGUUGGAUGUCGAAAAGGAAUUUCUUCGUCGCAAAUUCGCCCUGUUGAGAUCCGGAGUUACACCAACCGGAAUCGAGACGCAAAUAAAUCAGCGAGGCCAAGAAUGUGCGAACUCUCAACUUACCGCCACCGGUAUACAGUUUGCGGAAAACAACGGAUGCAGUACUCCGCACCAGCCGGUUGAGCCCCAACUCAUUACAACACGGCAAGCAGCCUUUAGGCAGAUGGUGCCCCGAGAGUUGCCCUCCUUUAGUGGCGAUCCAAAGGAAUGGCCAAUUUUCUUCAGUUCAUUCGAAAGCAGCACAAAAAUGGCCUGUUACAGCAACGAGGAAAAUAUGAUCAGGCUGCAGAAGGCUCUAAAAGGGAAAGCUUUGGAUGCAGUCAGAGACUGCCUUCUAUUUCCUGACACGUUGCCAGACGUCAUGAGAACCUUAAGGAUGUACUUCGGUCGCCCAGAGCAUAUCUUGAAAGUCGUGGUUGAUAAUAUGAGAAGGAUGCCGGCACCCAAAGGACAGCUCGAACCGCUCAUCGAGCUGGCUUUCGCCGUAAAAAAUAUGUGUGCCACUAUGAAAGCCAGUAAUAUGUUGGCCCAUCUUAACAAUCCAACACUUUUACAAGAAAUCGUUGAGAAGCUAGGCCCUGAGAUGAUGCUGAAUUGGGCUUUGUACUCAAAGCAAUUCGACUGCCCCAAUCUACAACACUUAGCGGAUUGGAUGUUUGAGUUAGCUGACGCAGCUUGUCGGGUAACAACUCCAGCAGUCGGCAGGACAGCCGAGAGGAGAUCAUUACGCCAAGGCUGCCUAAAUACGCACACAGCAGUGGCAGGCUCAGCUCAACAAAGGGUCGAGCACUGCAUGGUCUGCGACGGGCCGCACUGCAUAUCACGUUGCGAAAGUUUCGCCGGUCUGCCUUAUGCGGCUAAAUGGGAUGUGGUGAGAACAAGUCACUUGUGCAAAAUAUGUUUAAAGAGGCAUAACAAAUCCUGCUGGAAAAAAAGGUCUUGUGGGAUCAACAAUUGCCAAGCGAUACAUCAUCCGUUAUUGCAUCAGGAUCAGUCGCCCGUUCCCGGCGCGCUCAAUAAUCACCGACAGCCCGAAAACGAGGGCGAGGAAAGCUACUUCCGCAUCAUCCCCGUCACUCUACGAGGGAAAUCGAAGCUGAUCGAAAUAUACGCGUUUAUGGACGACGGUUCGACGCUGACUCUGCUAGAGGAAUCAGUGGCCAACGAGCUAGAGGAGGAUGGCAUUCCCAGUCCUCUCUGCAUAAGCUGGACAGGCAGUGUACAACGACAGGAGCCCUCGUCUAGGCGACUCGAUCUGCGAAUCUCAGGAACUUCCCAAAAUUCCAAGGUGUUCAAUAUAAGCAACGUACACACAGUGGCCAGUUUGGGCAUGACAGCGGAGACCAUGAUAGCGGAAGAUGUCAAAAGGAAGUAUCGACAUUUAAAAGGGAUUCCGAUUAAAAGUUAUAAACAAGUGGUACCCAAAAUGAUCAUUGGAGUCAAUAAUCCGAAUUUAAUAUCUUCAUUAAAGGUACGUGAAGGUAAAUGGAACCAACCGGUAGCAGCAAAGACCAGACUAGGAUGGACAGUCUAUGGAGGUUCGCGACAACGUGGAAAUCGUUUUAAUUUCCAUAAAUGCGAGUGCGACAGCGAUCUACAUGAGAUGGUUAAGGCGUACAUAACCGCCGAGGAUAAAGUUUCUACGCAGCGGAAAAGCACGCCAGAGGAAAGCAGAGCUUCCGAAAUUCUCAUGGAGAGGACAACAUAUGACGGAAACAAAUACACUGCCGGGCUUCUAUGGUUAGACGAACACCGUUCCUUUCCAGAUAGUUUUCCAAUGGCAGAGAGACGGCUAAAAUGCCUGCAGCGAAAAAUGCAUAACGAUCCUGAGCUUGCUGUUGAGCUGAACCAGCAAAUACAAAAUCUGGUCGACAAGGGAUACGCAAAAAAGCUAUCGAGUGAAGAAACCAAAAAGGAUGCUGCCGGCGCAUGGUAUUUGCCAAUAUUUACUGUGCGAAACCCCCACAAGCCAAACCGGGUACGAUUGGUUUGGGACGCAGCAGCAAAGGCCUCGAAAUAUUGCUUAAACGACUAUCUGUUGAAAGGCCCUGACCUUUUGGUCCCACUUUUGAGGAUAAUGUACAACUUCCGAAUGAGAGCCGUCGCAAUCAGCGGAGACAUAGCGGAGAUGUUCCACCGCAUAGCUGUAAGACAGGAGGAUGCUUGCGCCCAACGUUUCCUUUGGUGCAAUCAGUCAGGCACUGCCGAUGUUUACCAACUCAACGUGCUAACAUUUGGUGCAGCCUGCUCGCCCUGCAUAGCACAUUAUGUGCGUGACAAGAACGCCCUAAAGCACGCAGAGGAAUUCGAGGCGGCGGCACGAGCCAUCACCAAAUUUCACUAUGUCGAUGACUAUAUUGAUUCGUGCGACACUCCACAACAAGCUAUCACAUUAGCAAGAGAAGUUAAGGAGGUACAUUCCAGAGGUGGCUUUCACAUGCAUAAGUGGUGCUCGAACCACAAAGAAGUGGUUGCCGAUCUAAACGGGUCUACAAAACAGGAAGAGAAGGAGUUCUACAAUAACGAAGAAAUCCAUUCCUUCGAAAAAAUUUUAGGCAUGCAAUGGAGCCCAAGUCAAGACGCAUUCACGUAUGCUCUCCGCUUCGUUCGUUUAAACCGAAAUAUUAUCAAGGAGAACAUAGUGCCUACCAAGAGAGAAGUCCUACAAGUCCUGAUGUCUGUCUUCGAUCCCAUGGGAUUUGUAUCGUGCAUUAUGAUGUAUCUCAAGAUCCUGCUGCAAAAUAUUUGGCGCACGAAAAUGGGCUGGGACGACGAACUACCGCCGGAGCUGUACGUCCAGUGGAACUUAUGGCUAUCAUAUCUGCCUUUGAUUUCACAGGUCGCCAUACCAAGACGCUACUUUGAAAACGGAACCCCUGAGGAUUGCAGCACCCAGCUGCAUAUAUUUGUUGAUGCAGGGGAAGAAGCAUAUGCAGCCGUAGCGUACUUCCGUAUCCAAUUCCAAGGAAUAAUAACUGUUCGUCUCGUUUCAGCCAAAUCCAAAGUAGCCCCAGUACGGCCACUCUCUAUACCAAGAAUGGAGCUACAAUCGGCACUGACAGGUGCACGUUUAUUUCGAGAUAUAAAGGCCCAGCAUGACAUCAAGUUCACGGAGACACAUUUGUGGACUGAUUCGAAAACCGUUCUGGCCUGGUUAAAUGGCGAUCCCCGCAAGUACCAGCAGUUCGUGAUGUUUCGUCUCGCAGAAAUUUCGGAGCUCUCGGACGUUAACCACUGGAGAUGGGUUCCUAGCAAGCACAACGUAGCGGACGUCGCUACAAAACGCCAAAGUGGACCCGAAGCGUAUGAUCGAUGGUUUGCAGGACCGGAAUUUCUGAGGCUACCAGCGGAAACUUGGCCCAUCACAGAAUCAAGUCAUUCAACAACAGAAGAACUGCGACCGCGAUUGCUACAUAUACGACAGGCCACAAUAAGACCAAACUACGAGGCCUUUUCAAAAUGGAUUACGCUGUCGAGAGCCGUUGCCUAUUGGUUCCUAUAUAAGGAACAGCUGACCAGCCAAAGCCGCAAGCAGUCAAAGCCCACUCGCAUUUCGGUAUUUCAUAUAAGGAAUGCUCAAGCAUACAUAUUUCGCUGCGUACAAAUAGAAGGCUUCCCCGAUGAAUUCGCGAGAGUCUUAAAAUCCACUCCGGUGGCUCGCAGCAGUGUGCUCUGGAGGCUGCAACUAUGUAUGAACGAGGACAACAUAAUGCAAGUACGGAAUCGGGUAGGAAAAUUCAAGAGUACUUCAGACGACCUCGUGAUAUUGCCAACCAGUCACUGGGUUACCAAACUCAUCGUUCGACAUUAUCACGAGAAAUCCUACCACAUCAACCAUGAGACUGCGCUUAACGAGGUGAGGCAAAGGUUUUAUAUUCCGAAACUAAGACCUUUAUUUAAACAAGUUCGCCGAGAUUGCCAACAGUGUAAAUUGGACAGAGCCAAACCUCAACCACCUAUUAUGGCUCCGCUCCCUCCAGCCCGUUUAGGAGGAUUUCAACGACCCUUUACGUUCGUGGGCAUAGACUACUUUGGUCCACUCACGGUCAUUGACGGAAGAAAGUCCCUGAAACGCUGGGGCAUGAUCUCCACGUGCCUUACUAUGAGGGCAAUACAUAUAGAAAUCGUAAACAGCCUGAGCACAGACUCCUGCCUUAUGGGGCUACGUAACUUUAUCGCACGGCGAGGCCUCCCACACGAAAUCUACAGCGAUAAUGGAACUAACUUCCGGGGAGCGGACUCAUUCCUCCAGGAAGUCCAGUUCAUAGACGAAUCCAAAAUGCACCACCACCUAGCCCAGCUAGGAAUUGAAUGGAAAUUCAACCCGCCAGCAGCGCCACACAUGGGCGGCGCCUGGGAGCGCAUGGUCCGCUCAAUAAAAACAGUUCUCUACAAAAUCUCUCCUCACCAAAAGUUCUCGGACGAGAGCCUAAGGACAGCGAUGCUGGAGAUAGAGUUGACGGUUAAUUCCCGACCGCUUACAUUUGUUUCCCUCGACCAUGACGACCAGGAGGCUCUAACCCCAAAUCACUUUCUGCUGGGAUCCUCGAACGGGACUAAGCCAUUUUGCGAUCCAGAAAGAAUUAACUACCGAUGGUGCCUGCGACAAAGCGAACAGUUCGCUAACCAAUUCUGGACUCGGUGGGUCACGGAAAUCCUUCCGACGAUCACCAGGAGAAGCAAGUGGCACGAGAAGGUGAAACCUAUCGACGUCGGAGACCUCGUUAUAAUUGUCGACGAGACUCAGCGCAGAAAUACCUGGUUAAAAGGCAGAGUAAUCGAAGUAACCCGAGCAUCUGAUGGACAAGUUCGCCGUGCCAAGGUUCAAACUAGAGAUGGCUUUCUGGUGCGUCCUGCAGUCAAGUUGGCGGUACUCGAUGUCGGCCCGAUUGAGAGUAAGCUACAGGAGUCUUCGCUUACUGGGGGGGGGGAAUGUUGCCGAAAUCGACGACGGCUGAAGCACCCCAGUGAGAACAUGUUCGCGGAGUUGCCAACUCUAUUCAUUUUUAUCCUAUUCCCCUUUGCUCACGGCUCGUCCAGCUGUUAAUCGCUGAGUAGCUCUUACUCACCACGCUUGCAGAGCUUACAUACAUACACACAAGUGGGGUGAGAUUGCCGAUUCUAUUUUGUGGUUCAGUUGUGAAUAGAAAAGCGAAGGGCUAGGAAAUUUUAAGCGUCACAGCGUCACCACGAAGAGGGACAGCUGAAAUAAAUACUAGACUUGCA